This 446-nucleotide ribosomal RNA is filed under the name uncultured bacterium. RNAcentral's name for it is "partial 16S ribosomal RNA". It matches the Rfam family "Bacterial small subunit ribosomal RNA", at positions 338 to 795 of the family's 1533-position model. The record is from RNAcentral.
CCUACGGGAGGCAGCAGUCGAGAAUCAUUCACAAUGGGGGAAACCCUGAUGGUGCGACGCCGCGUGGGGGAAUGAAGGUCUUCGGAUUGUAAACCCCUUUCAUGUGGGAGCAAAUUAAAAAGAUAGUACCACAAGAGGAAGAGACGGCUAACCCUUUGCCAGCAGCCGCGGUAAUACAGCGGUCUCAAGCGUUGUUCGGAAUCACUGGGCGUAAAGGGUGCGUAGGCUGUUUCGUAAGUCGGGUGGGAAAGGGGCGGGGUCAAACCGCGUACGGGUAAUGAUACUGCGUGACUAGAGUAAAGGAGGGGGAACCGGAAUUCUCGGUGUAGCAGUGAAAUGCGUAGAUAUCGAGAGGAACACUCGUGGCGAAGGCGGGUUCAUGGACAUUAACUGACGCUGAGGCACGAAGGCCUGGGGAGCGAAAGGGAUUAGAUACCCGGGUAGUC